Carassius gibelio (silver crucian carp) is the source of this 327-nucleotide long non-coding RNA. RefSeq lists it as uncharacterized. The record is from RefSeq and is a predicted model, not a curated record. Lineage: Eukaryota; Metazoa; Chordata; Actinopteri; Cypriniformes; Cyprinidae. The transcript is spliced from 3 exons.
CCUUCCUGAUCUCCAGGGGCUAACAUCAAUCAGGCCUUUCCUAAGUGUCAUGCACGCUAAAGCACAUUCCACUAAGUGUGAGAUAACAUGGAGUGACAAAAACCAAGAAGGAGCAGGGUCAACUGCAGGGGAGGAAGUUGAACAGGUGAACAGCUUCCUCUCCCACUGUGCCUUAACGACUGUCGAAAGGAGAUUGUUUUUAAAGAUUGUGGCAAGUUCCGUCCCCACCUGCAGAGGAAAACUGCUGAGAGCAAGAGACUGCUAUUGAAAGACAUAGAGACCUAUAACAGUCAUGAGCCUGUUAUGCCAAUAGAUGUUAAUGAAGUG